Molecule: small nuclear RNA, 145 nt
Filed under: Ipomoea nil (Japanese morning glory)
Lineage: Eukaryota; Viridiplantae; Streptophyta; Magnoliopsida; Solanales; Convolvulaceae
Description: U1 spliceosomal RNA
Rfam family: U1 spliceosomal RNA
About the family: U1 is a small nuclear RNA (snRNA) component of the spliceosome (involved in pre-mRNA splicing). Its 5' end forms complementary base pairs with the 5' splice junction, thus defining the 5' donor site of an intron.
Source: Rfam by way of RNAcentral
AUACUUACCUGGACGGGGUCAAUGAGUGAUCAUCAAGGCACAUGGCCUAGGCUAGUGACCUUCAUUGCACUUUGGAGGUGCAUUAGGCUAAGGUCUACCUAAUUGGUGGAGCCUACGUCAUAAUUUGUGUUGGUCCCGAUAGGGU